RNAcentral lists this small nuclear RNA (141 nucleotides) under Cebus imitator (Panamanian white-faced capuchin). Its description in RNAcentral is "U4 spliceosomal RNA (ENSCCAG00000008164.1)". It matches the Rfam family "U4 spliceosomal RNA". From Rfam's summary of the family: U4 small nuclear RNA (U4 snRNA) is a component of the major U2-dependent spliceosome. The structure of U4 snRNA from yeast and human has been reported. The record is from Rfam by way of RNAcentral. Lineage: Eukaryota; Metazoa; Chordata; Mammalia; Primates; Cebidae.
AGCUUUGCACAGUGGCAGUAUCGUAGCCAAUGAGGUUUAUCUGAGGUGCGAUUAUUGCUAAUUGAAAACUUAUCCCAACACUCCGCCGUGAUGACAUGAAAUACAGUUGGCAUUGUCAAUUUUUGACAGUCUCUAUGGAGA